This 628-nucleotide long non-coding RNA is filed under the name Lathyrus oleraceus (garden pea). RNAcentral's name for it is "Pisum sativum (pea) long non-coding RNA (PSAT_LNC038063)". The record is from RNAcentral. Lineage: Eukaryota; Viridiplantae; Streptophyta; Magnoliopsida; Fabales; Fabaceae.
UUUACCUUCAUCCACCUCCAUCAACUCACUUCAUCGGUCACGACCAACACCACUCACAUCAUUUUUACUCAUUUCUAAGAGAAAAAAAAUCUUACACACCUUCAAAUUGUACAUUUCUUCUUUUCACUCUUUGUAAUGUUAAGGUUUGAUUUUAUUAUUUUAUAAUUUUAGAUUUUUUGGUUUCAUCCUUUAUUUGUGUUUUUAUUCAUCCUUCUAACUUAUAGUUUUUUUUCUUCAUGUUAUCAAACUACCAUCUUCACGAGUCUUGAGCACCCCUCUUUAUCUGCGAUGGCAAGACUGAAGGUAGAUUUAAAGUUUUUGUUUUUCGUUUAUUUAUUUAUUUAUUGAGAGUUUAAUUUUUAAGUUGUUGAGUUAGUUUGUUGUUUUGAGUUUUUUAUUUAGAUUUGUUGUUUUCUAGAUUUGAGAUGUUGAUUAUUUGGUUAUAACUUUUUUGGUUUGGUUUGAAGUUCUAUAGAUAUGAGUGGUUGAUUCUUUGGUUCGAACUUUUUUGAUUUGGUUUGAUGUUUUAUAGAUUUGAGUUGUUGAUUCUUUGGCUCUUGGUUGUUUUUAAGGAAGGAGAUGAAGAACUCUUUUUAGUUUAAAAAAUAAUGGUUUUAUGUAAAUCUCU